This 1032-nucleotide long non-coding RNA is filed under the name Papio anubis (olive baboon). RNAcentral describes it as "lncRNA (ENSPANG00000038619.1)". Lineage: Eukaryota; Metazoa; Chordata; Mammalia; Primates; Cercopithecidae. The record is from RNAcentral.
GUACUCUCAUGGUAGGCAAGAUAUGAAUCUUCCUUGAAGUGGCACAUAGAAUGAAUGGGGGGUAACUGGCCCAUGGAGAACACUCGAUAAAGCUCGGGGAUGAACACGAUCUCGGCAAUCAUGGAGUCAGAACGUGCUGCCAUUAGCUCAGGAAUGACUGAGAUCACUGGAAGGGCCUUGAUCUCAGGGUCUCAGGAGUCGGAGACUCUGAUCCAGCUCAGGGCUCAGGGGUCGGAGGACUCAGUCCCAGCUCAGGGUCUCCAGGGGUUGGGGGAUUCAGUCCCAGCUCACGGUCUCCAGGGGUCGGGGGACUCAGUCCCAGCUCAGGGGCUCCAGGGGUCGGGGACUCAGUCCCAGCUCAGGGGCUCCAGGGUCGGGGAUCGCAGUCCCAGCUCAGGGGCUCCAGGGUGGGGGACUCAGUCCCAGCUCAGGGUCUCCAGGGGUCGGAGGACUCAGUCCCAGCUCAGGGGCUCCAGGGGUCGGGGGACUCAGUCCCAGCUCACGGUCUCCAAGGGUCGGGGGACUCAGUCCCAGCUCAGGGGCUCCAGGGGUCGGGGGACUCAGUCAGCUCAGGGGCUCGGGGGAGGUCGGGAACUCGGUCCCGGCUCACGGUCUCGGGGUUGGGACUCAGUCCCAGCUCAGAAGCAGGGGGCUCAGGGGUCGGGGACUCGGUCCCAGCUCAGGAGUCUCCAGGGUUGGGGAUCUGGUCCCAGCUCAGAAUCAGAAUUCGGAGGACUCAGUCCCAGCUCAGGGGCUCCAGGGGUCGGGGGACUCAGUCCCAGCUCAGGGUCUCCAGGGGUCGGGGGAUGCGGUCCCAGCUCAGGGGCUCCAGGUGUGGGAGCAGCCCAAAACCCCUCUCAGGCUGGGAUGAGGGGCCGGGCUAUGGGGCUUCAGGGGUCCUGCUCUCCCUCUGUGACUCUGUUCCUCUUCUCGGACUCCCACCUUCCACUGCUGCCUCUCUGCUCUGUCCUGUUCUCUCAUUUUUGUAGCUCAAAAAUGCCCCACCCUCUCCAGGUCCCUUCUGACUUCUAA